This 495-nucleotide ribosomal RNA is filed under the name uncultured bacterium. RNAcentral describes it as "partial 16S ribosomal RNA". It matches the Rfam family "Bacterial small subunit ribosomal RNA", at positions 28 to 507 of the family's 1533-position model. The record is from RNAcentral.
GACGAACGCUGGCGGCGUGCCUAAUACAUGCAAGUAGAACGCUGAAGGAGGAGCUUGCUUCUCCGGAUGAGUUGCGAACGGGUGAGUAACGCGUAGGUAACCUGCCUGGUAGCGGGGGAUAACUAUUGGAAACGAUAGCUAAUACCGCAUAAGAGUAGAUGUCGCAUGACAUUUGCUUAAAAGGUGCAACUGCACCACUACCAGAUGGACCUGCGUUGUAUUAGCUAGUUGGUGAGGUAACGGCUCACCAAGGCAACGAUACAUAGCCGACCUGAGAGGGGGAUCGGCCACACUGGGACUGAGACACGGCCCAGACUCCUACGGGAGGCAGCAGUAGGGAAUCUUCGGCAAUGGACGGAAGUCUGACCGAGCAACGCCGCGUGAGUGAAGAAGGUUUUCGGAUCGUAAAGCUCUGUUGUAAGAGAAGAACGAGUGUGAGAGUGGAAAGUUCACACUGUGACGGUAUCUUACCAGAAAGAGACGGCUAACUACGUG